Molecule: ribosomal RNA, 410 nt
Filed under: uncultured bacterium
Lineage: Bacteria
Description: bacterial SSU rRNA
Rfam family: Bacterial small subunit ribosomal RNA
Source: RNAcentral
UCGAGGAUCUUUGGCAAUGGGCGCAAGCCUGACCAAGCGACGCCGCGUGCGCGAUGAAGGCCUUCGGGUUGUAAAGCGCUGUCGAGGGGGAGGAAGCCGCAAGGUUGACCGAUCCCUGGAGGAAGCACGGGCUAAGUUCGUGCCAGCAGCCGCGGUAAGACGAACCGUGCGAACGUUGUUCGGAAUCACUGGGCUUAAAGGGCGCGUAGGCGGGCGAUCAAGUCUGUGGUGAAAUCCUUCGGCUCAACCGAAGAACUGCCGUGGAUACUGGUCGUCUGGAGGGAGGUAGGGGCAGCGGGAACUUCCGGUGGAGCGGUGAAAUGCGUAGAGAUCGGAAGGAACGCCGGUGGCGAAAGCGCGCUGCUGGACCUCUUCUGACGCUGAGGCGCGAAAGCUAGGGGAGCAAACGG